RNAcentral lists this ribosomal RNA (1158 nucleotides) under Triticum aestivum (bread wheat). Its description in RNAcentral is "partial small subunit ribosomal RNA". The record is from RNAcentral. Lineage: Eukaryota; Viridiplantae; Streptophyta; Magnoliopsida; Poales; Poaceae.
AUGGGUUUCCGGUCAGGUUUUAUCAACAGAAUUGGGCUGUUCUCAAGGAUGAGAUUGUGGCAGCGGUGCAGGAGUUUUUUUACCAAUGGUGUCAUGCCGAGUGGGAUUAAUGAUACGACCAUUGUGCUAAUCCGCAAAGUGCCACAUCCAAGAGAGCUCAAGGAUUUCAGACCCAUUAUUUUAUGCAAUGUGGUGUAUAAAAUUGUCUCAAAGUGCAUGGUAAAUAGGCUUCGGCCUCUUUUAACUGAGCUUAUCUUAGAAAAUCAGAAUGCCUUUAUCCCCGGGAGGCUUAUUUCUGAUAACUCCAUCAUCGCAUUUGAGUGUAUUCAUCACAUCCAAAACAUCAAAGCAAAUUCCCCACCGUUGUGUGCUUACAAACUGGAUUUGUCAAAGGCUUAUGAUCGUGUUGAUUGGAACUUCUUGGAGAAGGCUCUUUCCAAGUGGGGUUUCCCCGAUGAAUGGAUCUCCCGUGUUAUGGCAUGUGUAACAUCUGUGAAGUAUUCUGUGAAAUUCAAUGGGAAGUUGUUGGAGCCCUUCUCCCCCUCAAGAGGGCUCUGCCAAGGUGAUCCAUUAUCCCCCUUUCUCUUCCUAUUUGUGGCUAAUGCUCUUUCUGUUCUGUUGUAUAAGUCAAUGAGAGAAGAUGGUCUGCAAGGGGUUAAGAUAUGUAGGAGUGCUCCGGUUAUUUCACAUCUGUUGUUUGCGGAUGACUCACUUCUGCUUUUUCAUGCUUCGGAACAGCAAGGUAGUGACUGGACAAGAGUGACUGUACAAUUAAUUAACCCAUCGAAGUGCUCCAUCCUCUUUUCAGGAAACUACUUGCCAACUGUGGCACAUGAGGUUAAGUCAGUUCUAGAGAUUACACAAGAAGUUUUUGAACCUAAGUAUUUGGGUCUCCCAGUUUCGGAAGGAAGAUUACAUAAAGGAAAUUUUGAAACCAUCCAGGAUCGGUUGCACAAGAAACUUAUUGAUUGGAGCGAGAAAUAUGUGUCCUCUGGAAAUAAGGAGAUUUUGAUCAAGGCUGUCGCACAAGCCCUACCCGCUUAUGUUAUGAGUGUCUUUAAGCUCCCUACUUCGGUCUAUGAUGAGCUGACUCGUAUGAUCCGCCAAUAUUGGUGGGGAGUCAAGAAUGGGAAGAAGAAGAUGGUUGAAUUUAUAUGA